CUACGGGCGGCAGCAGUGGGGAAUAUUGCACAAUGGGCGCAAGCCUGAUGCAGCGACGCCGCGUGAGCGAUGAAGGUUUUCGAAUCGUAAAGCUCUGUCCUCGGGGAAGAUAAUGACGGUACCCGAGAAGAAAGCACCGGCUAAAUACGUGCCAGCAGCCGCGGUAAUACGUAUGGUGCAAGCGUUGUCCGGAAUUACUGGGCGUAAAGAGUUCGUAGGCGGGAAUGUAAGUCAGAAGUGAAAGGCAAUGGCUCAACCAUUGUAAGCUUUUGAAACUGCAUUUCUUGAGUAUCGGAGGGGAAAGUGGAAUUCCUAGUGUAGCGGUGAAAUGCGUAGAUAUUAGGAGGAACACCAGUGGCGAAGGCGACUUUCUGGACGAAAACUGACGCUGAGGAACGAAAGCGUGGGGAGCAAACAGGAUUAGAUACCCCCGUAGUC
This 438-nucleotide ribosomal RNA is filed under the name uncultured bacterium. RNAcentral's name for it is "partial 16S ribosomal RNA". It matches the Rfam family "Bacterial small subunit ribosomal RNA", at positions 339 to 795 of the family's 1533-position model. The record is from RNAcentral.